RNAcentral lists this ribosomal RNA (254 nucleotides) under uncultured bacterium. RNAcentral's name for it is "partial 16S ribosomal RNA". It matches the Rfam family "Bacterial small subunit ribosomal RNA", at positions 524 to 776 of the family's 1533-position model. The record is from RNAcentral.
UACGGAGGGUCCAAGCGUUAUCCGGAAUCAUUGGGUUUAAAGGGUCCGUAGGCGGUUUUGUAAGUCAGUGGUGAAAGCCCAUCGCUCAACGGUGGAACGGCCAUUGAUACUGCAAGACUUGAAUUAUUAGGAAGUAACUAGAAUAUGUAGUGUAGCGGUGAAAUGCUUAGAUAUUACAUGGAAUACCAAUUGCGAAGGCAGGUUACUACUAAUUGAUUGACGCUGAUGGACGAAAAGCGUGGGGAGCGAACAGG